This 849-nucleotide ribosomal RNA is filed under the name Clostridium sp. SS2/1. RNAcentral describes it as "bacterial SSU rRNA". It matches the Rfam family "Bacterial small subunit ribosomal RNA", at positions 8 to 870 of the family's 1533-position model. The record is from RNAcentral. Lineage: Bacteria; Bacillati; Bacillota; Clostridia; Eubacteriales; Clostridiaceae.
AGAGUUUGAUCCUGGCUCAGGAUGAACGCUGGCGGCGUGCUUAACACAUGCAAGUCGAACGAAACACCUUAUUUGAUUUUCUUCGGAACUGAAGAUUUGGUGAUUGAGUGGCGGACGGGUGAGUAACGCGUGGGUAACCUGCCCUGUACAGGGGGAUAACAGUCAGAAAUGACUGCUAAUACCGCAUAAGACCACAGCACCGCAUGGUGCAGGGGUAAAAACUCCGGUGGUACAGGAUGGACCCGCGUCUGAUUAGCUGGUUGGUGAGGUAACGGCUCACCAAGGCGACGAUCAGUAGCCGGCUUGAGAGAGUGAACGGCCACAUUGGGACUGAGACACGGCCCAAACUCCUACGGGAGGCAGCAGUGGGGAAUAUUGCACAAUGGGGGAAACCCUGAUGCAGCGACGCCGCGUGAGUGAAGAAGUAUCUCGGUAUGUAAAGCUCUAUCAGCAGGGAAGAAAAUGACGGUACCUGACUAAGAAGCCCCGGCUAACUACGUGCCAGCAGCCGCGGUAAUACGUAGGGGGCAAGCGUUAUCCGGAAUUACUGGGUGUAAAGGGUGCGUAGGUGGUAUGGCAAGUCAGAAGUGAAAACCCAGGGCUUAACUCUGGGACUGCUUUUGAAACUGUCAGACUGGAGUGCAGGAGAGGUAAGCGGAAUUCCUAGUGUAGCGGUGAAAUGCGUAGAUAUUAGGAGGAACAUCAGUGGCGAAGGCUGCUUACUGGACUGAAACUGACACUGAGCACGAAAGCCUGGGGAGCAACAGAUUAGAUACCUGUAGUCCACGCGUAACGAUGAUACUAGUGUCGGGCGUAAAGCUCGGUGCCGCAGCCACGCAGUAGUAUCCC